AGUGAACGCUGGCGGUAGGCCUAACACAUGCAAGUCGAACGGCAGCACAGUAAGAGCUUGCUCUUACGGGUGGCGAGUGGCGGACGGGUGAGGAAUACAUCGGAAUCUACUUUUUCGUGGGGGAUAACGUAGGGAAACUUACGCUAAUACCGCAUACGACCUACGGGUGAAAGCAGGGGAUCUUCGGACCUUGCGCGAUUGAAUGAGCCGAUGUCGGAUUAGUUAGUUGGCGGGGUAAAGGCCCACCAAGGCGACGAUCCGUAGCUGGUCUGAGAGGAUGAUAGGCGACACUGGAACUGAGACACGGUCCAGACUCCUGCGGGAGGCAGCAGUGGGGAAUAUUGGACAGUGGGCGCAAGCCUUAUCCAGCCAUACCGCGUGGGUGGAGGAGGCCUUCGGGUUGUAAAGCCCUUUUGUUGGGAAAGAAAAGCAGCAGGUUAAUACCCCGCUGUUCUGACGGUACCCAAAGAAUAAGCACCGGCUAACUUCGUG
RNAcentral lists this ribosomal RNA (492 nucleotides) under uncultured bacterium. Its description in RNAcentral is "partial 16S ribosomal RNA". It matches the Rfam family "Bacterial small subunit ribosomal RNA", at positions 29 to 507 of the family's 1533-position model. The record is from RNAcentral.